This 233-nucleotide ribosomal RNA is filed under the name uncultured bacterium. Its description in RNAcentral is "partial 16S ribosomal RNA". It matches the Rfam family "Bacterial small subunit ribosomal RNA", at positions 101 to 334 of the family's 1533-position model. The record is from RNAcentral.
AAACGGGUGCGGAACACGUACGCAACCUUCCUUUAACUGGAGAAUAGCCCCUCGAAAGAGGGAUUAAUACUCCGUAACAUCCCGAUGUGGCAUCACAACGGGAUUAUAGCUCCGGCGGUUAAAGAUGGGCGUGCGCCUGAUUAGAUAGUUGGCGGGUAACGGCCCACCAAGUCUGCGAUCAGUAACUGGUGUGAGAGCACGACCAGUCACACGGGCACUGAGACACGGGCCCG